RNAcentral lists this ribosomal RNA (468 nucleotides) under uncultured bacterium. RNAcentral describes it as "partial 16S ribosomal RNA". It matches the Rfam family "Bacterial small subunit ribosomal RNA", at positions 28 to 507 of the family's 1533-position model. The record is from RNAcentral.
GACGAACGCUGGCGGCGUGCUUAGCACAUGCAAGUCGAACGGAAAGGCCCUGCUUUUGUGGGGUGCUCGAGUGGCGAACGGGUGAGUAACACGUGAGUAACCUGCCCUUGACUUUGGGAUAACUUCAGGAAACUGGGGCUAAUACCGGAUAGGAGCUCCUGCUGCAUGGUGGGGGUUGGAAAGUUUCGGCGGUUGGGGAUGGACUCGCGGCUUAUCAGCUUGUUGGUGGGGUAGUGGCUUACCAAGGCUUUGACGGGUAGCCGGCCUGAGAGGGUGACCGGCCACAUUGGUACUGAGAUACGGCCCAGACUCCUACGGGAGGCAGCAGUGGGGAAUAUUGCACAAUGGGCGGAAGCCUGAUGCAGCAACGCCGCGUGCGGGAUGACGGCCUUCGGGUUGUAAACCGCUUUCGCCUGUGACGAAGCGUGAGUGACGGUAAUGGGUAAAGAAGCACCGGCUAACUACGUG